RNAcentral lists this ribosomal RNA (932 nucleotides) under uncultured beta proteobacterium. RNAcentral's name for it is "bacterial SSU rRNA". It matches the Rfam family "Bacterial small subunit ribosomal RNA", at positions 8 to 932 of the family's 1533-position model. Lineage: Bacteria; Pseudomonadati; Pseudomonadota; Betaproteobacteria. The record is from RNAcentral. RNAcentral also lists the same sequence under 3 other names.
AGAGUUUGAUCCUGGCUCACAUUGAACGCUGGCGGCAUGCCUUACACAUGCGAGUCGAGCGGCAGCGCGGGGGCAACCCUGGCGGCGAGCGGCGAACGGGUGAGUAAUACAUCGGAACGUGUCCAGUAGCGGGGGAUAACCUGUCGAAAGAUAGGCUAAUACCGCAUACGACCUACGGGUGAAAGCGGGGGACCGCAAGGCCUCGCACUAUUGGAGCGGCCGAUGUCGGAUUAGCUAGUUGGCGGGGUAACGGCCCACCAAGGCGACGAUCCGUAGCUGGUCUGAGAGGACGACCAGCCACACUGGAACUGAGACACGGUCCAGACUCCUACGGGAGGCAGCAGUGGGGAAUUUUGGACAAUGGGCGCAAGCCUGAUCCAGCCAUGCCGCGUGAGUGAAGAAGGCCUUCGGGUUGUAAAGCUCUUUCGGCGGGGACGAAACGGUCCGUGCCAACACCACGGACUAAUGAUGGUACUCGCAGAAGAAGCACCGGCUAACUACGUGCCAGCAGCCGCGGUAAUACAUACGGUGCGGGCGUUAAUCGGAAUUACUGGGUGUAAAGCGUGCGCAGGCGGCUCCUUAAGUCACAUGUGAAAUCCCCGGGCUUAACCUGGGAACUGCGUUUGAAACUGAGGGGCUUGAGUGUGGAUGAGGGGGGUGGAAUUCCACGUGUAGCAGUGAAAUGCGUAGAGAUCUGGAGGAACACCGAUGGCCAAGGCAGUCCCCUGGGCUAACACUGACGCUCAUGCACGAAAGCGUGUGGAGCAAACCGGAUUAGAUACCCUGGUACUCCGCGCCCCUAAACGAUGUCCACUGAUUGUCGGGGAAGCAAUUCCUUGGCUAACGAGGCUAACCCGUGAAGAUGACACGCCUGGGUAGUACGGCCGCAGGUUUAAACUCACACGAAUUGACCGGUGACCCUCCACAAGCCG